AAUGUGGUCUUUGUAGACAGUUGGUCACUAAAGCAGGUAUGACUGUAAAGAAUAAGACCCCCAGCAUUAUGUUACCUGGUAUGUCAUUAAGUACUAUAAUUUAUGCACAUUAUAUUUUGUUGAUGAUUUAACAUAGUGUAAUGAACCAGUUCGCCACAAUUUAAGUUAUCUUGCAGAAAACGUAGAGGGCGCAGUAAGCUUUUGGGGCGUAAGGGCUCAGAGCGCGAUUACGGCCGCACCAUGCGUAAAGCAGCUCUCAGAGCGUCUCAGAGGCUAUAAAUACCAGUAUUUCAUGGUAAUUUCGUCACCUCGACGCUGGCUCUCGUCUUGGUCAGAUAGCGAACUCUCCGCUUUGCUCCAACUGAGCUAAAAUAAGGAAAAGGAUUGGAGGCGAGAAAUAGAGUUCCUACAAAAGGCAAUCCCUGCCCUUACUACUUGUUGAGAUUAAUCCAGGUAAUUGGUGUCGGUGUUAACUAUGAUAAUGUGUUGGAGAUGUUGACUUAUGUUUGUAUUAUUAAAGUAUACAGUUAAACAAUCCAUCGUUUCAUAACGUGUGAUUAGUUGAGUCUCCAUAGACUGACGUAAUAUAACCCUCUCAUAGAGAAUACACAUCCACCUAUCCAAAACACCUCUCAUCUCCACACCCAUAUAUUUUGGGAAAACGGAGCCAUGUCCGGGACUCUAGACUACAAGCCAAAUAGAAACCGCUCGCAUUAGUCAGGAUGACAAACUCUUCGUCAGAUGAUGGUGAUAGAGGCAAGGAACAGGCCAGCCCUCCAGCAUCCAGGACCCGUUCUAAGAUGGAGGGCCGUAACAAUAGUGAUUUGUAUCUUCUUCUGCAAAAUGUUUCAAAUGGACUUUAUGAAUACAUACCGUAACUUGAAAACAAAUCAUUAAAUUUCAUUUCUUGUA
Long non-coding RNA from Strongylocentrotus purpuratus (purple sea urchin), 912 nucleotides. RefSeq lists it as uncharacterized. The transcript is spliced from 2 exons. Lineage: Eukaryota; Metazoa; Echinodermata; Echinoidea; Camarodonta; Strongylocentrotidae. The record is from RefSeq and is a predicted model, not a curated record.